RNAcentral lists this ribosomal RNA (990 nucleotides) under Triticum aestivum (bread wheat). RNAcentral's name for it is "partial small subunit ribosomal RNA". Lineage: Eukaryota; Viridiplantae; Streptophyta; Magnoliopsida; Poales; Poaceae. The record is from RNAcentral.
AUGAUGGCAAAGCUCUCCCAAGAGCAGUUAAACAACGGCGUUAUCUGCUCCUCUGCUGGAAACCAUGCUCAAGGAGUUGCUCUUUCUGCCCAAAGAUUGGGCUGUCAUGCCGUUAUUGUCAUGCCUGUGACAACACCAGAAAACAAGUGGCGAUCAGUGGAGAAACUGGGUGCGACAGUCGUUCUCAAAGGAGAUUCAUAUGACGAAGCUCAAUCAUAUGCAAAACUAUGCUGUGAGGAGGAAGGCCUCACAUUCAUAGCUCCUUUUGACCAUCCCGACAUUAUUGCUGGACAAGGAACUGUUGGCAUGGAAAUUGUUCGCCAAUUGCAAGGUCCAUUACAUGCAAUAUUUGUACCUGUGGGAGGUGGUGGAUUAAUUGCUGGAAUUGCUGCCUAUGUGAAACGGGUCUGCCCUGAGGUCAAAAUAAUUGGAGUGGAGCCCUCAGAUGCAAAUGCCAUGGCAUUGUCCUUGUUUCAUGGCCAGAGGGUCAUGUUAGAACAUAUUGGAGGGUUUGCUGAUGGUGUAGCUGUCAAAGUUGUAGGCAAGGAGACAUUUCCCUUGUGUCAAGAUUUUGUAGAUGGCAUUGUCCUGGUCAGCCAAGAUGCUAUCUGUGCUUCAAUAAAGGAUAUGUUUGAGGAGAACAGGAAUAUCCUUGAACCUUCUGGGGCCCUUGCCUUGGCUGGGGCUGAAGCUUACUGCAAAUACUAUGGUUUGAAAGGGGAAACUGUGGUUGCAAUAAGUAGCGGUGCAAAUAUGAACUUUGAUACACUUAGAUUAGUAACCGAGCUUCCUGAUGUUGGUCGAAAACCAGAAGCGGUAUUACCUACAUUUUCGCCGAAGGAGCAGGGAAGCUUCAAAGAGUUUGCAGAACUGGUAUGCAUCAUGAUUUUUCAACCAACACAUGAUAGUAGAUAUUCUAUUUCUUUUCUUGUGACUUCUUGUUGUGCAGGUUGGCCGGAUGAAUAUUACCGAAUUCAAACACAUAUAUGA